This is an RNA transcript of Apis laboriosa (Himalayan honeybee), 1219 nucleotides long. It is a transcript of the gene named protein CROWDED NUCLEI 4, with no coding region annotated. The record is from RefSeq and is a predicted model, not a curated record. The transcript has 6 exons. Lineage: Eukaryota; Metazoa; Arthropoda; Insecta; Hymenoptera; Apidae.
AUGACUGAAGAUUUAUUAUCUAAAGAAAAAGGAUUUCAUCAAUUAAAUAAAGAACUUGAGCAGAAGGCAUAUAAUUUAAUGACAAAAAUAAAUUGUGUUGUUAAUACUUAUAAUAAUGAAUAUUCAAUUUCUAAUUCGAAAAAACAUCAAAUAAAUGUGUCCGAAGAAAAAACAAGUUCAAAUAGUAUACCAAUGCAAAAUGAAUAUAAUUUUCAGGUUCCAGUUAAACGAAAUUCAUCAUUACCACAUAUUUUUAAUCAAUUUUCAACUUCAAAGUUAAAACUAGAAUUACAGAAGGAUAAUGAAGAUGAUAUUUUUAAACAAAGAAACUUAGCAAGUAAAACUGUUUUUAACUUCUUAAAAGCUAAAAUAGAUAUAUUACAUAAUGAGCUGCAAACAAUGCAUAUUGAAUAUAAAAAAAAGAAUGAUAUUUAUAAAAAUUUAGAAUGUGAAAGUAAGAAAAUUGAAAUUAAGUUGAAGACUGAAAUAGAAUCAUUAAAAGAAACAGUCACAAAAUUAGAAAACACUAACAAGGAAAUACAAUGUCAAUCACAGGCAUUACAUGUAGAAAAUUUAAUUUUAAAAAAAGAUUUGGAUAGACUUCAGAAACAAAUAAAAAUAACAAAUCAUCAAUCUAAUAGUUGUACUAUAAGAUUAAAUAGAUCUUUAGAAAACAAUGAUAAACUUAAGAAUGCACUGAAAUAUUCCGAAGUAGAAGAAAAGAUUUUUAUCCUGCUUUAUUUCAUAGGAAUUGAAAAUUCAAAUUAGAGAUCUACAAGAAGAAAAAAAAUUAACAAUUAAUCAUUUGCGAAAACAACUUUCAGAAUUGAUACAAGUGUUUAAAAAACAAAUGUUAAUUGUAGAUAACUUAAAGAAGCAAAAUGCAUGCUUACUGGCAGUUGGACAACUAAAAUUAGCAAAAGAAGAUUUUUCAAGAUUAUUGGAUCAAAAACCUGAAAAUUUAUAAUAUAUAUUAUAUAUAAAACAUUUAUUAAAUGUACGUAACUACUGCAAUACAUUGCAAAAGAUGGAAUAAUUUCAUUUCAUAGCCAUACAUUUUAUACAAUUUUAUAUUACAUGAUAUUAUAUAUCCUUAAUAAUAUUUUUUAUGAAAAAUCUGUGUUUUUCAAUACAUUACCUGUCAUUCAUUAUGAAAUUUGAAAAUUUUGUUUCUUGAUCUAAAUUCUAUAAUUCAUCCCAAUAUCUUUUUUAUUUGAUU